This 150-nucleotide non-coding RNA is filed under the name Haloquadratum walsbyi. RNAcentral describes it as "Sense overlapping transcript RNA 0042 (sot)". It matches the Rfam family "Sense overlapping transcript RNA 0042 (sot)". From Rfam's summary of the family: It is associated with IS1341-type transposase (tnpB) genes, at the 3'-end in H. salinarum NRC-1. Lineage: Archaea; Methanobacteriati; Methanobacteriota; Halobacteria; Halobacteriales; Haloferacaceae. The record is from Rfam by way of RNAcentral.
AAGUAUCUCCGAGUCUCGCUAUGGACGACGGUGAUAGGAGUAACGGCUAGUCGGCACAGCCAUCGACGUACCUGUUUGACAAGGAAAUUGACUUGUUCAAGCCUCAACAACAGAUAAUGUCGUGAGAUUCCGGCGUCUUCAGGCGCGAGA